Molecule: ribosomal RNA, 1382 nt
Filed under: Ditylenchus weischeri
Lineage: Eukaryota; Metazoa; Nematoda; Chromadorea; Rhabditida; Anguinidae
Description: SSU rRNA
Rfam family: Eukaryotic small subunit ribosomal RNA
Source: RNAcentral
AACAAAACCAAGCGACUUCGGUCGUUUUUUGUUGACUCAGAAUAACUAAGCUGAUCGCAUGGUCUUGCACCGGCGACGUGUCUUUCAAGUAUCUGCCUUAUCAACUUUCGAUGGUAGUGUAUCUGACUACCAUGGUGGUGACGGGUAACGGAGGAUAAGGGUUUGACUCCGGAGAAGGGGCCUGAGAAAUGGCCACUACGUCUAAGGAUGGCAGCAGGCGCGCAAAUUACCCACUCUCAGAACGAGGAGGUAGUGACGAAAAAUAACGAGACCGUUCUCUACGAGGCCGGUCAUCGGAAUGGGUACAAUCUAAACCCUUUAACGAGUAUCUAUGAGAGGGCAAGUCUGGUGCCAGCAGCCGCGGUAAUUCCAGCUCUCAAAAUGCAUAGAAUUAUUGCUGCGGUUAAAAAGCUCGUAGUUGGAUCUGUGCUGAGGACCUGGUCCACCUUCGGGUGCGUACUAGGCUCCACGGCUUUUCUGCCGGUUUUCCCGUCAUGGCUUUYAWCGGCUGUGGCGGGUGGCUGGUGAUUUUACUUUGAACAAAUCAGAGUGCUUCAAACAGGCGUUUAGCUUGAAUGUUUUUGCAUGGAAUAAUAGAAGAGGAUUUCGGUUCUAUUUUAUUGGUUUUAUAGACUGAAAUAAUGGUUAACAGAGACCAACGGGGGCAUUCGUACCGCUGCGUGAGAGGUGAAAUUCUUGGACCGCAGCGAGACGAACUACAGCGAAAGCAUUUGCCAAGAAGGUCUUCAUUAAUCAAGAACGAAAGUCAGAGGUUCGAAGGCGAUCAGAUACCGCCCUAGUUCUGACCGUAAACGAUGCCAACUAGCGAUCUGCCGGUGGAAUUUUCGCCCUGGUAGGGAGCUUCCCGGAAACGAAAGUCUUCCGGUUCCGGGGGAAGUAUGGUUGCAAAGCUGAAACUUAAAGGAAUUGACGGAAGGGCACCACCAGGAGUGGAGCCUGCGGCUUAAUUUGACUCAACACGGGGAAACUCACCCGGCCCGGACACCAUAAGGAUUGACAGAUUGAUAGCUUUUUCAUGAUUUGGUGGAUGGUGGUGCAUGGCCGUUCUUAGUUCGUGGAGCGAUUUGUCUGGUUUAUUCCGAUAACGAGCGAGACUCUAGCCUACUAAAUAGUCUGCACAUUGCUUCUGUGAUGCAGUACUUCUUAGAGGGAUUUUCGGUGUACAGCCGCACGAGAUUGAGCAAUAACAGGUCUGUGAUGCCCUUAGAUGUCCGGGGCUGCACGCGCGCUACACUGGCGAAAUCAGCGUGCUUGUCCUUGCUCGAAAGAGCUUGGUAAACCAAUGAAAAUUUGCCGUGAUUGGGAUCGGAAAUUGCAAUUAUUUUCCGUGAACGAGGAAUUCCAAGUAAAUGCGAGUCUAC